Molecule: ribosomal RNA, 427 nt
Filed under: uncultured bacterium
Lineage: Bacteria
Description: partial 16S ribosomal RNA
Rfam family: Bacterial small subunit ribosomal RNA
Source: RNAcentral
UGGGGAAUAUUGGACAAUGGGCGAAAGCCUGAUCCAGCCAUGCCGCGUGUGUGAAGAAGGUCUUCGGAUUGUAAAGCACGUUAAGUUGGGAGGAAGGGCAUUAACCUAAUACGUUAGUGUUUUGACGUUACCGACAGAAUAAGCACCGGCUAACUCUGUGCCAGCAGCCGCGGUAAUACAGAGGGUGCAAGCGUUAAUCGGAAUUACUGGGCGUAAAGCGCGCGUAGGUGGUUUGUUAAGUUGGAUGUGAAAUCCCCGGGCUCAACCUGGGAACUGCAUUCAAAACUGACUGACUAGAGUAUGGUAGAGGGUGGUGGAAUUUCCUGUGUAGCGGUGAAAUGCGUAGAUAUAGGAAGGAACACCAGUGGCGAAGGCGACCACCUGGACUAAUACUGACACUGAGGUGCGAAAGCGUGGGGAGCAAACA